Molecule: ribosomal RNA, 545 nt
Filed under: Riolama stellata
Lineage: Eukaryota; Metazoa; Chordata; Lepidosauria; Squamata; Gymnophthalmidae
Description: Riolama sp. RR-2019b partial large subunit ribosomal RNA
Rfam family: Bacterial large subunit ribosomal RNA
Source: RNAcentral
CAAAACAUAGCCUUUAGCAACCAAAGUAUUAAAGGUGACGCCUGCCCAGUGACAUAUUAAACGGCCGCGGGAUCCUCCACCGUGCAAAGGUAGCAUAAUCACUUGUCCCCUAAAUAGCGACUAGUAUGAAUGGCCAAAUGAAGAUUUCCCUGUCUCUUGCAGAUAAUCUAUGAAACUGAUCUUUCAGUACAAAAGCUGAAAUAAAAACACAAGACGAAAAGACCCUGUGGAACUUUAUAAGCGAAACCCACACAUAUGGUAAAUCCCUUUUAGUUGGGGCAACUAUGGAAAUAAACAAAACUUCCAAUAUUAUGCCAAGGUAGACGCACCUAAGCACCAUGUAAACGACCCAGUAUGACUGAUAAAAGAAACAAGCUACCCCAGGGAUAACAGCGCCAUCCCCUCUUAGAGUCCCCAUCGAUGAGCGGGGCUUACGACCUCGAUGUUGGAUCAGGGCCCCCAAACAGUGCAGCAGCUGUUAACGGUUUGUUUGUUCAACAAUUAAUGCCCUACGUGAUCUGAGUUAAGACCGGAGCAAUCCAGGU